GACGAACGCUGGCGGCGUGCCUAAUACAUGCAAGUAGAACGCUGAAGGCGGAGAUUGCUCUUCCGGAUGAGUUGCGAACGGGUGAGUAACGCGUAGGUAACCUGCCUGGUAUCGGGGGAUAACGAUUGGAAACGCUAGCUAAUACCGCAUAACAGCAGAUGUUGCAUUACCUUUACUUAAAAGGUGCAAUUGCAUCACUACCAGAUGGACCUGCGUUGUAUUAGCUAGUUGGUGGGGUAACGGCUCACCAAGGCGACGAUACAUAGCCGACCUGAUAGGGGGAUCGGCCACACUGGGACUGAGACACGGCCCAGACUCCUACGGGAGGCAGCAGUAGGGAAUCUUCGGCAAUGGACGGAAGUCUGACCGUGCAACGCCGCGUGAGUGAAGAAGGUGUUCGGAUCGUAAAGCUCUGUUGUAAGAGAAGAACGAGUGUGGGAAUGGAAAGUUCACACUGUGACGGUAUCUUACCAGAAAGGGACGGCUAACUACGUG
This 495-nucleotide ribosomal RNA is filed under the name uncultured bacterium. Its description in RNAcentral is "partial 16S ribosomal RNA". It matches the Rfam family "Bacterial small subunit ribosomal RNA", at positions 28 to 507 of the family's 1533-position model. The record is from RNAcentral.